Molecule: long non-coding RNA, 249 nt
Filed under: Trifolium pratense (red clover)
Lineage: Eukaryota; Viridiplantae; Streptophyta; Magnoliopsida; Fabales; Fabaceae
Description: long non-coding RNA (TPRA_LNC003025)
Source: RNAcentral
AGGGUUGGGAAUAGGCCAGGCGGCCUACAGGGGCCUUCGGCCUGGCCUGUAUAAGUCUGGCCUGGCCUGGCCUGGUUAUUAAAAAUGUCAGGCUUAGGCUUUGAAAACGGCCUGUUUACAUAAAUAGGUCAGGCUUAGGCUUCUAAAAAGGCCUACGAAGCCUGAUAGGCCGGCCUGUUUAUAAUAAUUAUUAUUUAUAUAAUAUUAUUAUUUAUAUCUUAUAAAAAAAUAUUAUUUAUAUAAAUAUUA